This 446-nucleotide ribosomal RNA is filed under the name uncultured bacterium. Its description in RNAcentral is "partial 16S ribosomal RNA". It matches the Rfam family "Bacterial small subunit ribosomal RNA", at positions 338 to 795 of the family's 1533-position model. The record is from RNAcentral.
CCUACGGGUGGCAGCAGUCGAGAAUCAUUCACAAUGGGGGAAACCCUGAUGGUGCGACGCCGCGUGGGGGAAUGAAGGUCUUCGGAUUGUAAACCCCUGUCAUGUGGGAGCAAAUUAAAAAGAUAGUACCCCAAGAGGAAGAGCCGGCUAACUCUGUGCCAGCAGCCGCGGUACUACAGCGGUCUCAAGCGUUGUUCGGAAUCCAUGGGCGUAAAGCGUGCGGAGGCUGUUUCGUAAGUCGUGUGUGAAAGGCGCGGGCUCAACCCGCGGACGGCACAUGAUACUGCGAGACUAGAGUAAGGGAGGGGGAAGCGGAAUUCUCGGUGUAGCAGUGAAAUGCGUAGAUAUCGAGAGGAACACUCGUGGCGAAGGCGGGUUCCUGGACAUUAACUGACGCUGAGGCACGAAGGCCAGGGGAGCGAAAGGGAUUAGAUACCCGUGUAGUC